This 100-nucleotide transfer RNA is filed under the name Secale cereale (rye). RNAcentral describes it as "tRNA-like element t2". The record is from RNAcentral. RNAcentral also lists the same sequence under 1 other name. Lineage: Eukaryota; Viridiplantae; Streptophyta; Magnoliopsida; Poales; Poaceae.
GUUCUGGCUGGCAGCGGGCAUAGGACUGAAAAUCCUCUUUCGCCGGGCCUUUUGGACUCGAAAUCCAAACGGAGAGAGUGGUUCGAAUCCACCUCAGAAC